GAUGAACGCUAGCUACAGGCUUAACACAUGCAAGUCGAGGGGCAGCGCAGUGUAGCAAUACAUGGGCGGCGACCGGCGCACGGGUGCGUAACGCGUAUCCAACCUUCCCGUUACUCAGGGAUAGCCUUCCGAAAGGGAGAUUAAUACCUGAUGGUGUUUGAAUUCCGCAUGUUAUUCAAACUAAAGAUUUAUCGGUAACGGAUGGGGAUGCGUGACAUUAGGUAGAUGGCGGGGUAACGCCCACAUGCCUACGAUGUCUAGGGGUUCUGAGAGGAAGGUCCCCCACACUGGAACUGAGACACGGUCCAG
Molecule: ribosomal RNA, 309 nt
Filed under: uncultured bacterium
Lineage: Bacteria
Description: bacterial SSU rRNA
Rfam family: Bacterial small subunit ribosomal RNA
Source: RNAcentral